CUUCGCUGCUCCCUAGCUGGUAGGCAGAGAGAAAAGGGCCCAGAGAAGCCCAGGACUUCCUGGUCACAGUCACCCACCCAAGAGAGGCCUAGAGCUCCUCCAGGGCAUGUCUGUGAGCUAAGGUCACCCAAGGGAAACCUGGGAAUAUCGGUGAAGACACUGAGUGGUGCUGAGGACUCUCUGAGCCACAGGAUUCCUGCCCCUCAAGCACCAGCAGUAUCAGCUACCCUCAGCCCUCCUGCGCAAUCCUUGCUGUCAGACACAUCAUCAGCCCCACCUUCUGCUCCACUGGGACUCCUCCAGGUGGAUGUGACAGCCACAUCCUGAAUUCCAAGACCUUCUUCUCCUGUGGCCCAGACAGCAC
Molecule: long non-coding RNA, 364 nt
Filed under: Fukomys damarensis (Damara mole-rat)
Lineage: Eukaryota; Metazoa; Chordata; Mammalia; Rodentia; Bathyergidae
Description: lncRNA (ENSFDAG00000030725.1)
Source: RNAcentral